Molecule: ribosomal RNA, 301 nt
Filed under: uncultured bacterium
Lineage: Bacteria
Description: partial 16S ribosomal RNA
Rfam family: Bacterial small subunit ribosomal RNA
Source: RNAcentral
CAGCAGCCACGGGAAUACGGAGGGUGCAAGCGUUAAUCGGAAUUACUGGGCGUAAAGCGCACGCAGGCGGUUUGUUAAGUCUGUUGUGAAAUCCCCGGGCUCAACCUGGGAAUGGCAAUGGAUACUGGCAAGCUAGAGUGUGUCAGAGGAUGGUGGAAUUCCCGGUGUAGCGGUGAAAUGCGUAGAGAUCGGGAGGAACAUCAGUGGCGAAGGCGGCCAUCUGGGACAACACUGACGCUGAGGCACGAAAGCGUGGGGAGCAAACAGGAUUAGAUACCCCCGUAGUCCCUGUCUCUUAUAC